AUGGAACAAGAAACUAUUGGUGACGACUAUGUGCGUCUCCCUGAAGACAUUGUGAUUGGUUAUACUGAGGACGAAGAACCUAUUAACAAGCUCACCGAAGAUGUCUUCCCAUCCCUGCACACCAAUGCUAGGUCGAGGGAGUACAUGAGCAAACGUGCAAUUCUCUCGACCAAAAACGAGCAUGUGGAUGACCUAAAUGACAAGAUGAUCUCUAGGUUUCCGGGAGAAGAAAAGAUAAUGCAACCGAUGCGGAGAUUGUUGGUGGCCAGCAUGCUGGAAAGAGGGUGUUCAUACCUAGGAUCCCUAUGUCGCCAUCGGAGGACACCUCACUUC
RNAcentral lists this ribosomal RNA (333 nucleotides) under Triticum aestivum (bread wheat). RNAcentral's name for it is "partial small subunit ribosomal RNA". The record is from RNAcentral. Lineage: Eukaryota; Viridiplantae; Streptophyta; Magnoliopsida; Poales; Poaceae.